This is a small nuclear RNA of Hippopotamus amphibius kiboko, 102 nucleotides long. The record is from RefSeq and is a predicted model, not a curated record. Lineage: Eukaryota; Metazoa; Chordata; Mammalia; Artiodactyla; Hippopotamidae.
GCACUUGCUUUCACAGCGCAUGCGCUAAAGUCCGAAAGAUACAGAGAAGCUUAGCAUGGCCCCUGCACGUGGAUGACACACAAAUUUGUGAAAUAUUCUUUU